This is a microRNA precursor of Astatotilapia calliptera (eastern happy), 63 nucleotides long. NCBI's taxonomy places the organism in Eukaryota, Metazoa, Chordata, Actinopteri, Cichliformes, Cichlidae. The record is from Ensembl.
AGAGUUCGGUGUUGUGCGCUCACGCUCAAAACCUCCACUGGAAGUGCACGACUCCAGACUAGU